UACGAAGGGGGCUAGCGUUGUUCGGAAUUACUGGGCGUAAAGCGCACGUAGGCGGAUUGUUAAGUGAGGGGUGAAAUCCCAGGGCUCAACCCUGGAACUGCCUUUCAUACUGGCAAUCUCGAGUCCGAGAGAGGUGAGUGGAAUUCCGAGUGUAGAGGUGAAAUUCGUAGAUAUUCGGAGGAACACCAGUGGCGAAGGCGGCUCACUGGCUCGGUACUGACGCUGAGUGAGCGAAAGCCAGGGGAGCAAACGGG
RNAcentral lists this ribosomal RNA (254 nucleotides) under uncultured bacterium. RNAcentral's name for it is "partial 16S ribosomal RNA". It matches the Rfam family "Bacterial small subunit ribosomal RNA", at positions 524 to 776 of the family's 1533-position model. The record is from RNAcentral.